This is a small nuclear RNA of Cornus florida, 104 nucleotides long. Lineage: Eukaryota; Viridiplantae; Streptophyta; Magnoliopsida; Cornales; Cornaceae. The record is from RefSeq and is a predicted model, not a curated record.
UCAUGGCACGCACAGAGAAGAUAAAAUUGGAACGAUACAGAGAAGAUUAGCAUAGCCCCUGCGCAAAGAUGACACGCACAAAUCGAGAAAUAAUAUCAAAGCCU